AGCAACGUGACGCAGUGGAAGCGUGCAAGGCUCAUAACCUUGAAGUCGUAAGAUCGAAACUUACCGUUGCUA
Molecule: non-coding RNA, 72 nt
Organism: Tricladium varicosporioides
Lineage: Eukaryota; Fungi; Ascomycota; Leotiomycetes; Helotiales; Tricladiaceae
Source: the annotation of a GenBank genome assembly